UACGGAGGGUCCAAACGUUGUCCGGAAUCACUGGGCGUAAAGAGCAUGUAGGUGGCUUUGUAAGUGAGCGAUUAAAGACCGAGGCUUAACCUCGGGAAUGUUGCUUAUACUGCAUGGCUUGAGGAUACCAGGGGCAAGCGGAACUUUAAGUGUAGGAGUGAAAUCCGUAGAUAUUUAAAGGAACACCAAUGGCGAAGGCAGCUUGCUAGGGUAUAUCUGACACUGAGAUGCGAAAGCGUGGGGAGCAAACGGG
Molecule: ribosomal RNA, 253 nt
Filed under: uncultured bacterium
Lineage: Bacteria
Description: partial 16S ribosomal RNA
Rfam family: Bacterial small subunit ribosomal RNA
Source: RNAcentral